CCUACGGGUGGCAGCAGUAGGGAAUUUUCGUCAAUGGGCGCAAGCCUGAACGAGCAAUGCCGCGUGAACGAGGAAGGUCUUCGGAUCGUAAAGUUCUGUUGAAGGGGAAAAAGAGCGGAGAGAGGAAAUGAACUCCGAUUGAUAUUACCCUUCGAGGAAGUCACGGCUAACUACGUGCCAGCAGCCGCGGUAAUACGUAGGUGGCAAGCGUUAUCCGGAAUUAUUGGGCGUAAAGAGGGAGCAGGCGGCAGCAAAGGUCUGUGGUGAAAGACUGAAGCUUAACUUCAGUAAGCCAUAGAAACCGGGCAGCUAGAGUGCAGGAGAGGAUCGUGGAAUUCCAUGUGUAGCGGUGAAAUGCGUAGAUAUAUGGAGGAACACCAGUGGCGAAGGCGACGAUCUGGCCUGCAACUGACGCUCAGUCCCGAAAGCGUGGGGAGCAAAUAGGAUUAGAUACCCGGGUAGUC
RNAcentral lists this ribosomal RNA (464 nucleotides) under uncultured bacterium. RNAcentral's name for it is "partial 16S ribosomal RNA". It matches the Rfam family "Bacterial small subunit ribosomal RNA", at positions 338 to 795 of the family's 1533-position model. The record is from RNAcentral.